GUGCUGGAGACAGAGUCUGAGGAGAGCUGGACUUGGUUUUUGCAUAAUCUCCGCCGGGCUAUUGCACAUCCCAAUGGGUUGGUCAUUCAUACAGAUGCCUGCAAAGGUUUAGAAGUGGCCGUGGACAAUGUGUUCCCUGGAGUAGAGCAUAGGGAAUGCAUGCGUCACCUUGCUGCAAAUUUCAUGAAGAAAUUCAAAGGAAAGUUGUAUACCGACAAUUUAUGGCCAGCAUCUUUGACAUGCAGUGUGAAGAAGCACAACUACCACUUGAGGCAGUUAUACAUGAAUCCCAAAGUGAAAGAAUACUUGGAAACACACCACUCCAAGUUAUGGGCCAGAAGCCAAUUCAGUGAAGUGAGCAAAGUUGACUAUGUGCACAAUAAUCUAGCAGAGUCUUUCAACUCAACAAUCCGGAAA
RNAcentral lists this ribosomal RNA (417 nucleotides) under Triticum aestivum (bread wheat). RNAcentral's name for it is "partial small subunit ribosomal RNA". The record is from RNAcentral. Lineage: Eukaryota; Viridiplantae; Streptophyta; Magnoliopsida; Poales; Poaceae.